This 251-nucleotide ribosomal RNA is filed under the name uncultured prokaryote. RNAcentral describes it as "partial 16S rRNA". It matches the Rfam family "Bacterial small subunit ribosomal RNA", at positions 525 to 775 of the family's 1533-position model. The record is from RNAcentral.
ACGGGGACCCCAAGCGUUGUUCGGAAUCACUGGGCUUAAAGCGCGUGUAGGCGGACCGGCAAGUACUAUGUGAAAGCCCCGGCUUCAACCCGGGAAUUGCUUGGUAUACUGCCGGUCUUGAGGCAGGUAGGGGUGACUGGAACCUUAGGUGGAGCGGUGAAAUGCGUAGAUAUCUAAGGGAACGCCUGUGGCGAAGGCGGGUCACUGGGCCUGUCCUGACGCUGAGACGCGAAAGCGUAGGGAGCAAACGG